RNAcentral lists this ribosomal RNA (429 nucleotides) under Fusobacteriota bacterium. Its description in RNAcentral is "Fusobacteria bacterium partial 16S ribosomal RNA". It matches the Rfam family "Bacterial small subunit ribosomal RNA", at positions 355 to 776 of the family's 1533-position model. Lineage: Bacteria; Fusobacteriati; Fusobacteriota. The record is from RNAcentral.
UGGGGAAUAUUGCGCAAUGGGCGAAAGCCUGACGCAGCGACGCCGCGUGAGGGAUGAAGGUUUUCGGAUCGUAAACCUCUGUCAGAAGGGAAGAAACCGCACUGUGCUAAUCAGCAGUGCCUUGACGGUACCUUCAAAGGAAGCACCGGCUAACUCUGUGCCAGCAGCCGCGGUAAUACGGAGGGUGCAAGCGUUAAUCGGAAUUACUGGGCGUAAAGCGCACGUAGGCUGCUUUGUAAGUCAGGGGUGAAAUCCCACGGCUCAACCGUGGAACUGCCUUUGAUACUGCUUAGCUUGAAUCCGGGAGAGGGUGGCGGAAUUCCAGGUGUAGGAGUGAAAUCCGUAGAUAUCUGGAGGAACAUCAGUGGCGAAGGCGGCCACCUGGACCGGUAUUGACGCUGAGGUGCGAAAGCGUGGGGAGCAAACAGG